RNAcentral lists this ribosomal RNA (484 nucleotides) under uncultured bacterium. Its description in RNAcentral is "partial 16S ribosomal RNA". It matches the Rfam family "Bacterial small subunit ribosomal RNA", at positions 30 to 507 of the family's 1533-position model. The record is from RNAcentral.
AUUGAACGCUAGCGGGAUGCUUUACACAUGCAAGUCGAACGGCAGCGCGGACUUCGGUCUGGCGGCGAGUGGCGAACGGGUGAGUAAUGUAUCGGAACGUGCCCAGUAGCGGGGGAUAACUACGCGAAAGCGUAGCUAAUACCGCAUACGCCCUACGGGGGAAAGCUGGGGAUCGUAAGACCUUGCACUAUUGGAGCGGCCGAUAUCGGAUUAGCUAGUUGGUGAGGUAACGGCUCACCAAGGCGACGAUCCGUAGCUGGUUUGAGAGGACGACCAGCCACACUGGGACUGAGACACGGCCCAGACUCCUACGGGAGGCAGCAGUGGGGAAUUUUGGACAAUGGGGGCAACCCUGAUCCAGCCAUCCCGCGUGUGCGAUGAAGGCCUUCGGGUUGUAAAGCACUUUUGGCAGGAAAGAAACGUCGCGGGCUAAUACCCCGUGGAACUGACGGUACCUGCAGAAUAAGCACCGGCUAACUACGUG